GGUUAUGGCUCAGUGGUAGAGUACUUACCUAGCAAGUGCAAGGCCCUGGGUUCGAGUCUCAGCACCA
Molecule: transfer RNA, 67 nt
Filed under: Marmota monax (woodchuck)
Lineage: Eukaryota; Metazoa; Chordata; Mammalia; Rodentia; Sciuridae
Description: tRNA.Ala
Source: RNAcentral